Molecule: ribosomal RNA, 483 nt
Filed under: uncultured bacterium
Lineage: Bacteria
Description: partial 16S ribosomal RNA
Rfam family: Bacterial small subunit ribosomal RNA
Source: RNAcentral
AUUGAACGCUGGCGGCAGGCCUAACACAUGCAAGUCGAGCGGAUGAAGGGAGCUUGCUCCUGGAUUCAGCGGCGGACGGGUGAGUAAUGCCUAGGAAUCUGCCUGGUAGUGGGGGAUAACGUCCGGAAACGGGCGCUAAUACCGCAUACGUCCUGAGGGAGAAAGUGGGUAUCUUCGGACCUCACGCUAUCAGAUGAGCCUAGGUCGGAUUAGCUAGUUGGUGGGGUAAAGGCCUACCAAGGCGACGAUCCGUAACUGGUCUGAGAGGAUGAUCAGUCACACUAGAACUGAGACACGGUCCAGACUCCUACGGGAGGCAGCAGUGGGGAAUAUUGGACAAUGGGCGAAAGCCUGAUCCAGCCAUGCCGCGUGUGUGAAGAAGGUCUUCGGAUUGUAAAGCACUUUAAGUUGGGAGGAAGGGCAGUAAGUUAAUACCUUGCUGUUUUGACGUUACCAACAGAAUAAGCACCGGCUAACUUCGUG